RNAcentral lists this ribosomal RNA (468 nucleotides) under uncultured bacterium. Its description in RNAcentral is "partial 16S ribosomal RNA". It matches the Rfam family "Bacterial small subunit ribosomal RNA", at positions 28 to 507 of the family's 1533-position model. The record is from RNAcentral.
GACGAACGCUGGCGGCGUGCUUAACACAUGCAAGUCGAACGGAAAGGCCCUGCUUUUGUGGGGUGCUCGAGUGGCGAACGGGUGAGUAACACGUGAGUAACCUGCCCUUGACUUUGGGAUAACUUCAGGAAACUGGGGCUAAUACCGGAUAGGAGCUCCUGCUGCAUGGUGGGGGUUGGAAAGUUUCGGCGGUUGGGGAUGGACUCGCGGCUUAUCAGCUUGUUGGUGGGGUAGUGGCUUACCAAGGCUUUGACGGGUAGCCGGCCUGCGAGGGUGACCGGCCACAUUGGGACUGAGAUACGGCCCAGACUCCUACGGGAGGCAGCAGUGGGGAAUAUUGCACAAUGGGCGGAAGCCUGAUGCAGCAAAGCCGCGUGCGGGAUGACGGCCUUCGGGUUGUAAACCGCUUUCGCCUGUGACGAAGCGUGAGUGACGGUAAUGGGUAAAGAAGCACCGGCUAACUACGUG